Molecule: small nucleolar RNA, 134 nt
Organism: Sorex araneus (European shrew)
Lineage: Eukaryota; Metazoa; Chordata; Mammalia; Eulipotyphla; Soricidae
Gene: SNORA71
Rfam family: Small nucleolar RNA SNORA71
About the family: The members of this family belong to the H/ACA class of snoRNAs which bind a number of proteins (including dyskerin, Gar1p and Nop10p) to form snoRNP complexes.
Source: Ensembl
UCCUGCAUCCGAAAGUGGUCGUGGCUGCCUGUGCCCUGGCCAUUGGUAGUGCAGGGACAGGAAUCGCGGGAAGGCGUUUUCCCCGUGUUCGGAGGGUCAGCCCUGUCCCUCCCGAACCCUGAAGCUUCCCCACA